ACUGACAGAAGGAACAAGGACCGAAGGACAGGAAUCUUCUGUAGGACAUACCUGCCUCGGGAUUCACAACUGAAUUGCAAAUCUCGAACAACUUGGGGGAGUUUAGUCCAGACUUGUUGGACAUAUCUCAUUCCGAUGGCAAAUGAGAGACUGGUUCAGCCGCAGCCUGCCAGACUGCUACUUUGAUCUUCUUGAACUACGGGGAAGUAUGUUUGCCUGCAAAGCACAUUCAGCUCUAAUUCAGAUAAAGCUGAUGGAGUUGUGGAGGCUACCUGUCUUCUGCUGCUUUGCUGCUGAUCCUUCGUCUCAGUUGCCAUAGAGACAAGAUCUGGAA
Aptenodytes forsteri (emperor penguin) is the source of this 334-nucleotide long non-coding RNA. RefSeq lists it as uncharacterized. The record is from RefSeq and is a predicted model, not a curated record. The transcript is spliced from 3 exons. NCBI's taxonomy places the organism in Eukaryota, Metazoa, Chordata, Aves, Sphenisciformes, Spheniscidae.